CUACUUGGAUAACCGUGGUAAUUCUAGAGCUAAUACAUGCGAAAAACCGCGACUUCGGAAGCGGUGUAUUUAUUAGAUUAAAGACCAAUGCCCUUCGGGGCUGACUGGUGAUUCAUGAUAACUUCACGAAUCGCACGGCCUUGCGCCGGCGAUGGCUCAUUCAAAUUUCUGCCCUAUCAACUUUCGACUUUAGUGUARKGGACUAAAGUGGUUGCAACGGGUAACGGAGGGUUAGGGCUCGACCCCGGAGAAGGAGCCUGAGAGACGGCUACUACAUCCAAGGAAGGCAGCAGGCGCGCAAAUUACCCAAUCCCGACUCGGGGAGGUAGUGACAAUAAAUACUGAUACAGGGCUCUUUUGGGUCUUGUAAUUGGAAUGAGUACAAUUUAAAUCUCUUAACGAGGAACAAUUGGAGGGCAAGUCUGGUGGACAAAUCCAGUCCCGUGCUGGCGCCAGCAAGAGCGGGGGGCCCCUGCGGGCCUUCUUUCCCGCUAGUCGAGCACCCGUUCCAUGACGGGAGGGUGCCGGCGAGACAACCUGGAUCGGGGGAGGCUAAGAGGCGCCGCCAGGCGUCUUACGUUGAUCCCGAGCAGAGCACCCGAGGAGCGAUCUUCGGGCUGCCUGUGUAGAGCGCGCAAAGGUGUCGGUCGCUCUCCCCCUCGGGGGAGGCGGCUUAAGGGACGUGCCAUCCGCCUCGAAAGAGGAUUUCCUAUCUCCAGCGCCCGUCACGCUAAGGAUAGGAAGCUGCCGGCUUGCACCGGCAGUGGGAGAUCAAUACGGCCAGCAGCCGCGGUAAUUCCAGCUCCAAUAGCGUAUAUUAAAGUUGUUGUGGUUAAAAAGCUCGUAGUUGAACCUGGGCCUCGCGCAGACCGGUCCGCCUCACCGCGUGCACUGGUCCUGCCGGGGCUUUCACUAGGGGAUUCGCAUGUCCUUCACUGGGCGUGUGCGGAACCUGGACUUUUACUGUGAAAAAAUUAGAGUGUUCAAAGCAGGCCUAUGCUCGAAUACAUUAGCAUGGAAUAAUAGAAUAGGACGUGUGGUUCUAUUUUGUUGGUUAUGGGACCGCCGUAAUGAUUAAUAGGGACAGUCGGGGGCAUCAGUAUUCAAUAGUCAGAGGUGAAAUUCUUGGAUUUAUUGAAGACUAACUACUGCGAAAGCAUUUGCCAAGGAUGUUUUCAUUAAUCAGGAACGAAAGUUAGGGGAUCGAAGACGAUCAGAUACCGUCGUAGUCUUAACCAUAAACUAUGCCGACUAGGGAUCGGGCGAUGUUACUUUUUGACUCGCUCGGCACCUUACGAGAAAUCAAAGUC
This 1310-nucleotide ribosomal RNA is filed under the name Paralulworthia gigaspora. RNAcentral's name for it is "partial small subunit ribosomal RNA". Lineage: Eukaryota; Fungi; Ascomycota; Sordariomycetes; Lulworthiales; Lulworthiaceae. The record is from RNAcentral.